RNAcentral lists this ribosomal RNA (2617 nucleotides) under Salmonella enterica subsp. enterica. Its description in RNAcentral is "partial 23S ribosomal RNA". It matches the Rfam family "Bacterial large subunit ribosomal RNA". Lineage: Bacteria; Pseudomonadati; Pseudomonadota; Gammaproteobacteria; Enterobacterales; Enterobacteriaceae. The record is from RNAcentral. RNAcentral also lists the same sequence under 1 other name.
AAUCCAUAGGUUAAUGAGGCGAACCGGGGGAACUGAAACAUCUAAGUACCCCGAGGAAAAGAAAUCAACCGAGAUUCCCCCAGUAGCGGCGAGCGAACGGGGAGGAGCCCAGAGCCUGAAUCAGCAUGUGUGUUAGUGGAAGCGUCUGGAAAGGCGCGCGAUACAGGGUGACAGCCCCGUACACAAAAGCGCAUGUGCUGUGAGCUCGAUGAGUAGGGCGGGACACGUGGUAUCCUGUCUGAAUAUGGGGGGACCAUCCUCCAAGGCUAAAUACUCCUGACUGACCGAUAGUGAACCAGUACCGUGAGGGAAAGGCGAAAAGAACCCCGGCGAGGGGAGUGAAAAAGAACCUGAAACCGUGUACGUACAAGCAGUGGGAGCACCCUUUGGGUGUGACUGCGUACCUUUUGUAUAAUGGGUCAGCGACUUAUAUUCUGUAGCAAGGUUAACCGAAUAGGGGAGCCGGAGGGAAACCGAGUCUUAAUUGGGCGUUAAGUUGCAGGGUAUAGACCCGAAACCCGGUGAUCUAGCCAUGGGCAGGUUGAAGGUUGGGUAACACUAACUGGAGGACCGAACCGACUAAUGUUGAAAAAUUAGCGGAUGACCUGUGGCUGGGGGUGAAAGGCCAAUCAAACCGGGAGAUAGCUGGUUCUCCCCGAAAGCUAUUUAGGUAGCGCCUCGUGAAUUCAUCUCCGGGGGUAGAGCACUGUUUCGGCUAGGGGGCCAUCCCGGCUUACCAACCCGAUGCAAACUGCGAAUACCGGAGAAUGUUAUCACGGGAGACACACGGCGGGUGCUAACGUCCGUCGUGAAGAGGGAAACAACCCAGACCGCCAGCUAAGGUCCCAAAGUCAUGGUUAAGUGGGAAACGAUGUGGGAAGGCCCAGACAGCCAGGAUGUUGGCUUAGAAGCAGCCAUCAUUUAAAGAAAGCGUAAUAGCUCACUGGUCGAGUCGGCCUGCGCGGAAGAUGUAACGGGGCUAAACCAUGCACCGAAGCUGCGGCAGCGACACUGUGUGUUGUUGGGUAGGGGAGCGUUCUGUAAGCCUGCGAAGGUGGCCUGUGAGGGUUGCUGGAGGUAUCAGAAGUGCGAAUGCUGACAUAAGUAACGAUAAAGCGGGUGAAAAGCCCGCUCGCCGGAAGACCAAGGGUUCCUGUCCAACGUUAAUCGGGGCAGGGUGAGUCGACCCCUAAGGCGAGGCCGAAAGGCGUAGUCGAUGGGAAACGGGUUAAUAUUCCCGUACUUGGUGUUACUGCGAAGGGGGGACGGAGAAGGCUAUGUUGGCCGGGCGACGGUUGUCCCGGUUUAAGCGUGUAGGUGUGUGUUCCAGGUAAAUCCGGUUCACUUUAACACUGAGGCGUGACGACGAGGCACUACGGUGCUGAAGCAACAAAUGCCCUGCUUCCAGGAAAAGCCUCUAAGCAUCAGGUAACAUCAAAUCGUACCCCAAACCGACACAGGUGGUCAGGUAGAGAAUACCAAGGCGCUUGAGAGAACUCGGGUGAAGGAACUAGGCAAAAUGGUGCCGUAACUUCGGGAGAAGGCACGCUGACACGUAGGUGAAGUGAUUUACUCAUGGAGCUGAAGUCAGUCGAAGAUACCAGCUGGCUGCAACUGUUUAUUAAAAACACAGCACUGUGCAAACACGAAAGUGGACGUAUACGGUGUGACGCCUGCCCGGUGCCGGAAGGUUAAUUGAUGGGGUCAGCGCAAGCGAAGCUCCUGAUCGAAGCCCCGGUAAACGGCGGCCGUAACUAUAACGGUCCUAAGGUAGCGAAAUUCCUUGUCGGGUAAGUUCCGACCUGCACGAAUGGCGUAAUGAUGGCCAGGCUGUCUCCACCCGAGACUCAGUGAAAUUGAACUCGCUGUGAAGAUGCAGUGUACCCGCGGCAAGACGGAAAGACCCCGUGAACCUUUACUAUAGCUUGACACUGAACAUUGAGCCUUGAUGUGUAGGAUAGGUGGGAGGCUUUGAAGUGUGGACGCCAGUCUGCAUGGAGCCGACCUUGAAAUACCACCCUUUAAUGUUUGAUGUUCUAACGUGGACCCGUUACCCGGGUUGCGGACAGUGUCUGGUGGGUAGUUUGACUGGGGCGGUCUCCUCCUAAAGAGUAACGGAGGAGCACGAAGGUUGGCUAAUCCUGGUCGGACAUCAGGAGGUUAGUGCAAUGGCAUAAGCCAGCUUGACUGCGAGCGUGACGGCGCGAGCAGGUGCGAAAGCAGGUCAUAGUGAUCCGGUGGUUCUGAAUGGAAGGGCCAUCGCUCAACGGAUAAAAGGUACUCCGGGGAUAACAGGCUGAUACCGCCCAAGAGUUCAUAUCGACGGCGGUGUUUGGCACCUCGAUGUCGGCUCAUCACAUCCUGGGGCUGAAGUAGGUCCCAAGGGUAUGGCUGUUCGCCAUUUAAAGUGGUACGCGAGCUGGGUUUAGAACGUCGUGAGACAGUUCGGUCCCUAUCUGCCGUGGGCGCUGGAGAACUGAGGGGGGCUGCUCCUAGUACGAGAGGACCGGAGUGGACGCAUCACUGGUGUUCGGGUUGUCAUGCCAAUGGCACUGCCCGGUAGCUAAAUGCGGAAGAGAUAAGUGCUGAAAGCAUCUAAGCACGAAACUUGCCCCGA